GUGUCAGCCGCCGCGGUAAUACGGAGGAUGCGAGCGUUAUCCGGAUUUAUUGGGUUUAAAGGGUGCGUAGGCGGAUAAAUAAGUCAGUGGUGAAACCCUGCAGCUUAACUGUAGACUUGCCAUUGAUACUGUUUAUCUUGAGUUUGGUCAAGGCAGGCGGAAUGUGUAAUGUAGCGGUGAAAUGCUUAGAUAUUACACAGAACACCGAUUGCGAAGGCAGCUUGCUGGGCCGACACUGACGCUGAUGCACGAAAGCGUGGGGAUCGAACAGGAUUAGAUACCCUGGUAGUCCACGCCGUAAACGAUGAUCACUAGCUGUUGGCGAUACACAGUCAGCGGCAAAGCAAAAGCAUUAAGUGAUCCACCUGGGGAGUACGGCCGCAAGGCUGAAACUUAAAGGAAUUGACGGGG
RNAcentral lists this ribosomal RNA (411 nucleotides) under uncultured prokaryote. RNAcentral's name for it is "bacterial SSU rRNA". It matches the Rfam family "Bacterial small subunit ribosomal RNA", at positions 505 to 918 of the family's 1533-position model. The record is from RNAcentral.